This 201-nucleotide long non-coding RNA is filed under the name Homo sapiens (human). RNAcentral's name for it is "long non-coding RNA NONHSAT219308.1". Lineage: Eukaryota; Metazoa; Chordata; Mammalia; Primates; Hominidae. The record is from RNAcentral.
CCGCAGCGGUUCGCCCUGCCGGAUGCCUUCUCGCCCCCGCGCCGGGGGACCGCGCCUCCGGGGGCCAUGCGCCCGGCCCGUGCGUCCCUUGCCGCCGCGGGGAGGGACUGGGGCGCGGCACUCGGGACUCACUUGCCGCGCGAGGAGAGGGUACGCUUGCAAAUGAUCCCCCUGCCGCACCGCCAACACACACACACACAC